Phrynosoma platyrhinos (Desert horned lizard) is the source of this 72-nucleotide non-coding RNA. The record is from the annotation of a GenBank genome assembly. Lineage: Eukaryota; Metazoa; Chordata; Lepidosauria; Squamata; Phrynosomatidae.
GCCAGCAUGGCAUAGUGGUUUGAGUGUUGGACUGCAAUUCCAGAAACCAGUGUUCAGUUCCCAGCUCUGCUA